This 836-nucleotide ribosomal RNA is filed under the name Streptomyces althioticus. RNAcentral's name for it is "bacterial SSU rRNA". It matches the Rfam family "Bacterial small subunit ribosomal RNA", at positions 61 to 911 of the family's 1533-position model. The record is from RNAcentral. Lineage: Bacteria; Bacillati; Actinomycetota; Actinomycetes; Kitasatosporales; Streptomycetaceae.
GUCGAACGAUGAACCACUUCGGUGGGGAUUAGUGGCGAACGGGUGAGUAACACGUGGGCAAUCUGCCCUGCACUCUGGGACAAGCCCUGGAAACGGGGUCUAAUACCGGAUACUGACCCUCACGGGCAUCUGUGAGGUUCGAAAGCUCCGGCGGUGCAGGAUGAGCCCGCGGCCUAUCAGCUUGUUGGUGAGGUAAUGGCUCACCAAGGCGACGACGGGUAGCCGGCCUGAGAGGGCGACCGGCCACACUGGGACUGAGACACGGCCCAGACUCCUACGGGAGGCAGCAGUGGGGAAUAUUGCACAAUGGGCGAAAGCCUGAUGCAGCGACGCCGCGUGAGGGAUGACGGCCUUCGGGUUGUAAACCUCUUUCAGCAGGGAAGAAGCGAAAGUGACGGUACCUGCAGAAGAAGCGCCGGCUAACUACGUGCCAGCAGCCGCGGUAAUACGUAGGGCGCGAGCGUUGUCCGGAAUUAUUGGGCGUAAAGAGCUCGUAGGCGGCUUGUCACGUCGGUUGUGAAAGCCCGGGGCUUAACCCCGGGUCUGCAGUCGAUACGGGCAGGCUAGAGUUCGGUAGGGGAGAUCGGAAUUCCUGGUGUAGCGGUGAAAUGCGCAGAUAUCAGGAGGAACACCGGUGGCGAAGGCGGAUCUCUGGGCCGAUACUGACGCUGAGGAGCGAAAGCGUGGGGAGCGAACAGGAUUAGAUACCCUGGUAGUCCACGCCGUAAACGGUGGGCACUAGGUGUGGGCGACAUUCCACGUCGUCCGUGCCGCAGCUAACGCAUUAAGUGCCCCGCCUGGGGAGUACGGCCGCAAGGCUAAAACUCAAAGGAAUU